RNAcentral lists this long non-coding RNA (4662 nucleotides) under Homo sapiens (human). RNAcentral's name for it is "HSALNT0066776". The record is from RNAcentral. Lineage: Eukaryota; Metazoa; Chordata; Mammalia; Primates; Hominidae.
GUGAGGGAAGGAGGCGCCGCGGCGGGGCCGGGCCGGCCCUGGGACGUCCGCGCUCUCCUCCUCCUCCGCGCCCGCGGCGGCGGCGUGCAGCCGGCAGGGCGAGAACAAGGGAGGGCGGCGGGAGGUGGGCAGGGGAGGGGGGCGGUCUGCACUCCGAAACGGCCCCCCCGCCGCCAGCGACGUAGAGAACCCCCCUCCCCUCCGCGGCGGCGCCCGAUCACGCUGCGGGGAGAGCCGGCAGGCAGGCGGGGGAGCGCGCGCGGGCUCAGGACUCCCGCGCCGGAUGUGAGGUCACGUGGUGGCUUCAUCCCCGCGCGGAGGGCGGAGGGGCGCGGGCGACGUCAGGAGGCGGGGAAGGGGCGGGGAGGGGCGGGGCGAUUUAUAGGCCCCGCCCACCCAUCGCCUUUGCCACCCUCGAACGGGCAAAAGAAAGAAAGAGGCAGGUAAGGGGAGGCGAGGCCGUCCAAAAACGCUGGGUGUCAGCCCGGGGUGGCUAAUGGAGGGCGGCUUUUCUGGUGGGAUGAAAUGGAACGGCAAAUCCCACUUCAUCCCCUUUGGGCUAUGACAACAUCAUAGUCCAAUCUCCCAUUUUAUGAACAGGGAAACUGAGGCUCAGUGACUAGACAGACGUUGCCCAGAGUCAUGGUCAUGGAGGAAGCUUGUGCUAGAAUGGUGGAGAGGAAACCAGAGCCCAGCUCCUAAUGCAAGGCUCUUUCAUUCCUUUAGCCACCCUCGCCCCCGCCAAAACAAACAGACAAAAAACUGUCAUUCUCAUAUGACCACGGACUCUGCGCCCCGGCCGCAGGCGGAGGACAGGGAGGAGCGCACACGAGAAAGCUCCCACGCGCCCGCGCCUCGCCUCCGACGGGAAGGCGCCUCUUCCGACCGUCCUGGAUGCAAAUUAAAUACUUCCCUCCGCAGAAGACUUAUCUCGGGGUAGGGCCGCAGCCGGAUUUCCAAAUCGCGGGUUUGAUUUUCGCUGCGUCCUCUCCGCGACGCGCGCAGGGAGCGCGCCCGGCCACCUGCAGCCUCUGGCUGCGGCCAUCUUUCCGCCUGGGGCCACCUGGCCUGCGCCCUUUGUGCCCGGCCCGCUCCGUGACUGUUCUUCUUGCCGCUACUUACAGAACUCAGCCGCCUUAGCGUCUUAGAGAAGAGGACGGCAUGCAUGCGGACCCCGUCCACCACACCUGGAGAGCAGGGAGCCCUUAGUCCCUGGACACUUACCAGGGCCGCCACCCCUGGUCCACGCACGUGAUGACAUCUCACCAGGGGCAGCACACCGCCCGAGUCCGCGACACUGAUAACACCUCCUGCGGGCAGGAGGGCGCCACAGCCACCCCUGGUCCCCUAGAUUGUGUGAGGCUAGCAUUUCUGCCCGCCUCUUGGCGUGGACAGCACGCUGGACCGAGAUGGAACCACAGCUUUCUCUUCCCAAUCCCUGGCCUCACCGUUUUGUUUCAUACCUCACCGUUUGUUUCAAACCUCGUGGUGUUGAAAUGAUUAAAUGAGAUUAAGGGGUGUGUGGUAGUGUUGGGCAAACCACAAGAAAACGGUCUGGGUGGGGUCUGGCCCUAAAAUCUUCCUCCCCCACCUCCCAGGCUUCCUUGCCUUGCUGCUUCCUCUCAGCCUUUAAACAGGUUGGCCUCUCCAAGUCCUAAAAACAAAAUUAUCAAGCCAACCUCCUCCUGAAGUGCUCCCUCCAACUAGCUUCCAAGUGUUUCAUGCGGACCUCAAACAAUGGUCUUCCCUGGCUGCCUCUGCUUCCUCAUUUCUCAACACUUGGCAUUCUGGCUUCUCCUCCCCAACUCUAACCCUUCACCUUGCUCAGGCAAGAGCAACUCAUGACUUUCAUUUUGCCAAACCUUGCAGGCAUUCCUCAGGCCUUAUCUCUCUGGUUCUUUCUGCUACAUUUGACACCUUGGGAUGACUCUCACCUUCUGGAAUCUCUCUACUACCUUGGUUUCAGAAGAGUGAACCCUCUGGAUUAUCACAUGAAGCUACUUCCUGUGAGCAGCCCAGGGAUGGCCAGUCACUUGUGACCUACUUUCAGAGCUGGCAGUUCUGACUUCUAGAACAAACUCGGAACAAGCCCAUCUACAGCUGGUUGACUGAGUUUCCUUUGGGCUCCUGGCACCAGAAAGAAUUGCUCACUGGAAGGAUCAUAGGUGGCACUCAUGUCUCACUGCCCCACUCAGCUUGCCUGUGUGGACUCCUGCCUGCUCUCUGUGCCAGGAUCCCGUGACAUGAAACAGAAUAAGUGCUUCAUAAACGGGAGUGACACUAGGCGUGGUGGCAUGCAUCUGGAGUCCUAGCUACGCGGGAGGCUGAGGCAGGAGGAUUGCCUGAGCCUAGGAGUUGGAGGCUCUAAUGCACUUGGAUAGCACCUAUGAAUAGCCAGUGCCCUCCAACCUGGGCAACAUAGUGAGCUCUUGUCACCAAAAAAAAAAAAAAAAAAGCUAGAAGAGAAUAAUUUGAAUAUUUCUAGCACAAAGAAAAGACAAAUAUUUAAGAUAAUGGAUAGCCCAGUUACACAGAUUUGAUCUUUACAAAUUAUAUGAAUGUAUUAAAUUAUCAUGGCUGGGUGCAGUGGCUCACACUUGUAAUCCCAGCACUUUUGGAGGCUGAGGUGGGUGGAUCAUCUGCGGUCAGGAGUUCCAGACCAGCCUGGCAAACACGGCAAACAUGUACUAAAAAUACAAAAAAUUAGCCAAGUGUGGUGGCAGGCACCUGUAAUCCCAGCAACUCAGGAGGCCGAGGCGGGAGAAUUGCUUGAACCUGGGAGGCAGAGUGCUUGCAGUGAGCCGAGACCGCACCACUGCUUUGUAGCCUGGGCAACAGAGUGAGAUGCCAUUUCAAUAAUAAUAAUAAACUAUCACAUGUAACCCCCAAAUAUGUACAUCAUUGUGUAUCAAUAAAAAUAAAUAAAUGUGAAUAAAUGACUGAGAGUAUGAAUAAUGCCAUCCCUCCAGCGCCCUUGCACUGUGGUUCUCCAGCACCUGCUACUUAGGUUUCUUCAGAUACCAGCUGCUCUGGGAGCUAUACCUUGUUUCAGGAUCUCAGUCACUGCCUUCAGCAGCCCACUAUCUGAUCCAAGCAGCCAUGGAUUCUCUUUUGUAUCCAGUCACUCCUGUACCCUCUUCCCUUUUAGGUUUUGCUACUGUCUUCAAACUUGCUUUGAAGAUUUGAGCUCCUGUGUCACCAGGUCACCCUCAGAGGCAUCAGGACAUGCUCUUCAAGUAAAGUCCAAAUGAGGGAUUAGACACUCUGGGCUUCAUUUCUCAGUGUCCUCUCUCAAGAGCUAGACUAUUACUUGCAUUUCUCAUCUCCUUGAAUCAUCAGCGCCUGGUGCUAUCAUUUAAAAUAGGGAAAGUUAUGAACUGGGUUAAAUUUUUUUUUUUUUUUUGAGAUAGAAUGUCACUUUGUUGCCCAGGCUAAAGUACAGUGGUGCAAUCUUGGUUCACUGCAACCUCCACCUCCCGAGUUCAAGCAAUUCUCCUGCCUCAGCCUCCCAAGUAGCUGGGAUUACAGGUGUUCACCACCAUGCCUGGCUAGUUUUUGUGCUUUUAGUAGAGACAGGGUUUCACCAUGUUGGCCAGGCUGGUCUCGAACUUAUGACCUCAAGUGAUCUGCCCGCCUCAGCCUCCCAAAGUGCUGGGAUUACAGGCGUGAGCCACCACACCCGGCCUCAAAAAAUAUUUUUUUAGAAAGAAAAAAGAAAGAAACAAAAACAAAUAAAAUAGGGAAAGAUGAUUAGUAAGUCUCUUCCUUUCCAGGGCCUUAGUUUUCCUACCUGUAAAAUACAGAGCAUGGUAUUUUUGGAGUCCAUGAAUCCACCAAGCACAGUAUCAUCUUUGCAUGGUGCUUUAAAGUAUAUAAAACAUUUUAGACAAACAAGAUCUUAUUUAACAAAAAAAUGCCCAAUAAAUGUUUGCUAACAGAAAUGAUAAUGCUGAUUCUGUGUGAGCUGAAAGAAGCCUGUUGAAGGUGAAUGUGUCGUCUAUCAUUAAGUCUGAGGACCAAUUAAAGUUAAAACAAGUAUGAGUCACUAAAUGUUAGAAUUAAUUUUGAAUCCCUUAGUUUAAUUCCUACAUGUUGUCAAUGCCUGAGGGAAAUGGUCUAGCCACAGGUGCCAGCUCAUAAGAAACGGGAAGGCCAGGUACGGUGGCUCACACCUGCCAUCCCAUCAUUUUGGGAGGCUGAGGCCAGCAGAUCAUUUGAGGCCAGGAGUUUGAGACCAGCCUGUGCAAUGUAGGGAGAUCUCUACAAAAAAGUAAUUAGCCAGACAUGGUGGUAUGCACCUGCAGUCCCCGCUGUUUGAGAGGCUGAGGCAGGAGGAUCACAUGAGCCUAGAAGUUCGAGGCCGCAGUGAGCUAUGAAUGCACCAUUGCACUCCAGCCUGAGCAAUAGAGUGAGACCUUGCCUCAAAAAUUAAAAAAUAAAAUAAAUAUAAAAAUAAAACAAGAGAGAGAGGGCACCGUCUCUGUGGUACUAUUUGGCUGUGUUACAUAACUGGCAUUUUAUUUGGAAAAAAAAAAUGUCCUCCAAGGGGUUCAUUUCCUCAGAUCAAAUGUCAUUCCAGGUGUUGGUAUGCAUUCGACGCGUGCAUUCUUCAGCCCUGGUUAUUCUGUUUUAUUUUAUGUAAAACUCUAUUUCAAAAUACAG